Molecule: ribosomal RNA, 468 nt
Filed under: uncultured bacterium
Lineage: Bacteria
Description: partial 16S ribosomal RNA
Rfam family: Bacterial small subunit ribosomal RNA
Source: RNAcentral
GACGAACGCUGGCGGCGUGCUUAACACAUGCAAGUCGAACGGAAAGGCCCUGCUUUUGUGGGGUGCUCGAGUGGCGAACGGGUGAGUAACACGUGAGUAACCUGCCCUUGACUUUGGGAUAACUUCAGGAAACUGCGGCUCAUACCGGAUAGGAGCUACUGCUGCAUGGUGGGGGUUGGAAAGUUUCGGCGGUUGGGGAUGGACUCGCGGCUUAUCAGCUUGUUGGUGGGGUAGUGGCUGACCAAGGCUUUGACGGGUAGCCGGCAUGAGAGGGUGACCGGCCACAUUGGGACUGAGAUACGGCCCAGACUCCUACGGGAGGCAGCAGUGGGGAAUAUUGCACAAUGGGCGGAAGCCUGAUGCAGCAACGCCGCGUGCGGGAUGACGGCCUUCGGGUUGUAAACCGCUGUCGCCGGUGACGAAGCGUGAGUGACGGUAAUGGGUAAAGAAGCACCGGCUAACUACGUG